UGCAGAAAUAAAGCAGCAUACCUGCAACCAACUGAUCUUCAACAAAGUCUUUCCCCAGUGCUUAAGCAAGUUUAAGUAUCUUUCAUCUUAAAUCCUCCCCUUCAGCAGGAACCCGUCCUACCCCUUGUGAUCUGACCCUUGCCUCCCUACAGUCUCAUUUCCCACUGUUUCUUAUCUAAUCUGGAAACCACCUCCAGUCUUGCUGAAAUCCGCCUGUAGUAGACCGUGUGCUCUAUCUUUGUCACUUUGCACAAGUUUCUCUUUUUGGCUGCGUUGCCUUUUCCUCCCUCUCCACACUCCCCGCCUGUCCCCUACCACUGGUAACCCCUGGCCUUCCUUUAUGACUCAACACAGGCUUCAGGAGGCCUUUUCUGAGUGAGGAUUUCUGGGUCCACAAUCUCCAGGAGCUCCGGCGAAGUGCCUCACUGGCCACUAAGGUCUUUAUCCAGAGAGACUAUAGUGAUGGGACCAUCUGUCAGUUCCAGACCAAGUUUCCCCCAGAGCUGGACAGCCGGGGUCUCUGAAGUUACCCUGUGAAGAGCACAGACUCUGGGGUCAGAGCUGUAACCUUGGACAAGUUCACUUACCAUUCACUAAGUAUUUAAUGAGCACUUAGCAUUCACUAAGUAUUUAAUGAGCACUUAGCAUUCACUAAGUAUUUAAUGAGCACUUAGCAUCCACUAAGUAUUUAUUGAAUAUGUAUUAGACUCUAGAGAUAUAGGAGUAGACUCAUGGCAUUUAUUUUCUCUUAGGUGGUAUAGAAAAUAAA
Molecule: long non-coding RNA, 769 nt
Organism: Sapajus apella (tufted capuchin)
Lineage: Eukaryota; Metazoa; Chordata; Mammalia; Primates; Cebidae
Exons: 3
Source: RefSeq, a predicted model, not a curated record